RNAcentral lists this ribosomal RNA (467 nucleotides) under uncultured bacterium. RNAcentral's name for it is "partial 16S ribosomal RNA". It matches the Rfam family "Bacterial small subunit ribosomal RNA", at positions 28 to 507 of the family's 1533-position model. The record is from RNAcentral.
GAUGAACGCUGACAGAAUGCUUAACACAUGCAAGUCAACUUGAAUUUGGGUUUUUAACUUAGGUUUGGGUGGCGGACGGGUGAGUAACGCGUAAAGAACUUGCCUCACAGCUAGGGACAACAUUUGUAAACGAAUGCUAAUACCUAAUAUUAUGAUAAUAGGGCAUCCUAUAAUUAUGAAAGCUAUAAGCGCUGUGAGAGAGCUUUGCGUCCCAUUAGCUAGUUGGAGAGGUAACGGCUCACCAAGGCGAUGAUGGGUAGCCGGCCUGAGAGGGUGAUCGGCCACAAGGGGACUGAGACACGGCACGUACUCCUACGGGAGGUAGCAGUGGGGAAUAUUGGACAAUGGACCGAGAGUCUGAUCCAGCAAUUCUGUGUGCACGAUGAAGUUUUUCGGAAUGUAAAGUGCUUUCAGUUGGGAAGAAACAAAAGACGGUACCAACAGAAGAAGUGACGGCUAAAUACGUG